UAAAUUCCUCAAAUUAGGGUUAGGUAUGCUGUUUCUCUUAAAUCGGAGAAGAAUUUAUCGGUCCGCUGUCAGGAUCAAGCUCAACUUCCGGGUACCCUCUAUGAUGACCGGUGGUCUCAUCGGAUUCACGAGUGGUUUCAUGUACCGCCUCAUCGGGUUCCUCCCCAAUAAGGUCGCGGUAGCCCGCUAUAAGAAGGCGUAGACACUGAUGCCGAUCCCGCACGAAAUUCUUUUCUAGUUUCAUACCACUUCAUUUCUUCGCUUAGAGGACAAAGACUGUUUUUUGCUUUUGGGAAAGAGUUUCUCCAAACAGAGAUAUAUGAAUUGGAGAUUUAUACUCAUACCAGACCCAGUGAAGAAUUGUUAGAAUCAUUUAUGAUCCUGAUCAAUCCAAUACGUAAUUUCUUCAGAUAUGGAUAAUCCAAUCAGAAAUCCAUUUACAACCUUUUCUAACAGUAUGAGCUGAUAGCAGAUGUAUUUGUUUGGCAGAGGAGUGCGAGAUGAGAUGCUUGAAAAGUGAACAUAAAGCUGUUGCAUUCAUUUAAAGAUCAUGGAUUCUUUUUCAUCUGCUUCAGCUUGGGGUCACCCUCCUUGGGUCUCUGUGGAAGAAUCUGAUUCUAGUUGAAGGCAAGAGAAUUGAGUUGCAUCCUAGUCCUUUGCCUCAUCCUUCAGUUUUCCUUGAACCAUGAAUGGGCUAGUCCAUAAAAGUAAAAUUUCAAUAUCACACAGGAAGGUUUCAUUUUUGUUCAAUUACGCCAUUCCAAUCUGCAAAUGCCCCAAAAGAGAUGGAAUCCCGUUUCAAUCAACCACUCGGCUUUAUCAGAAUUUGGGGCUAUAGUCUAAUUGCUGUCUUGAUGAGUUCUGGAUUCUCUUACACUUGUCGUACUUUGCCCUUUUCUUGAUGGGUUUGGAAAUGGGAAAAGAAGUGAACUAGAGUGGACUCAAGCUGCUGAGUAAAUGCGUAUACCUUUUCUCUUGCUCUUUGGGUAUGCUUACUUGCAGUGAGAGGAGAGGAGAGGAGAGGAGAGGAGAGGGAAAAGAAAUCCUUAAACUAUGUUUAUUUGGAA
Long non-coding RNA from Zingiber officinale, 1067 nucleotides. RefSeq lists it as uncharacterized. Lineage: Eukaryota; Viridiplantae; Streptophyta; Magnoliopsida; Zingiberales; Zingiberaceae. The transcript is spliced from 4 exons. The record is from RefSeq and is a predicted model, not a curated record.